AAGACCAGACUAUUUUAUUUUUACUUUUUUUUUAUCUUCAACAUUCUAAAACAUAUAUUUGUUGCAGAGAUGAGGUUCAAUUCAGCAAAGGUGGAAGAGAGGAAGAGGGAGGACCAACUGAAAUCACCUGCUACUGCUCCCAUGCCAAAAAGAGUUAAAAGUGUGGAACCUCUUUCUGCCCCGACACCAUCCCGAUCAUCCUUAGCAACUCCAUCUC
This 217-nucleotide long non-coding RNA is filed under the name Elaeis guineensis (African oil palm). Its description in RNAcentral is "long non-coding RNA (EGUI_LNC003059)". Lineage: Eukaryota; Viridiplantae; Streptophyta; Magnoliopsida; Arecales; Arecaceae. The record is from RNAcentral.